AUUAGUAGAUAAUUAACUUGAAUUAAUCUUAUCAAAUAAAAAAUUUAAAUGUAAAAAAAAAAUUUGAGUUCAACCAUGUGCUAGCAAGGUUAUCCUAAACCCAAUAGGAUUUCUUUAAAUCCAAUUGAGACUUCAUAAGCCCAAUAGUUUAUUUCAGAUUUAAUCUCUUUAUUGUAUGACCUCAUAGGUUCAAUUCUAUCUAAUAGUGAGAUAUACAAUGAUCUCUAUCAUAAUAUCAUAGAAAUUUUUUUUAAU
Molecule: long non-coding RNA, 255 nt
Filed under: Elaeis guineensis (African oil palm)
Lineage: Eukaryota; Viridiplantae; Streptophyta; Magnoliopsida; Arecales; Arecaceae
Description: long non-coding RNA (EGUI_LNC061785)
Source: RNAcentral